This 213-nucleotide long non-coding RNA is filed under the name Bos taurus (domestic cattle). Its description in RNAcentral is "long non-coding RNA NONBTAT016428". The record is from RNAcentral. Lineage: Eukaryota; Metazoa; Chordata; Mammalia; Artiodactyla; Bovidae.
GUGGGCUACAGUCCACAGGGUUGCAGAGUCGGACAUGACAGAAGAGACUUAGCACAGGGGUGCAGGUCUGCACUCUGCAAAAGUGGGCGGAGACUCAGCCCCACUCUCUGAGUCCCCUUUUCUCCAUUGCUCUUUCCUCACAACUCAGAUCCACUCAUUCCAACAUACCCCCCAUCUACCCCUUCAGGUCCUGGUGGGUGACACAGCUCUAAU